CCCGCCUCUGUGCGAGGGCCAUAUCCUCCUCUGGCCGACUGUGGCUCCAUUAGCUGUUUGCCGGUAACUUGAACCCUCUCCCUCUCCCGGGUAGGGGGCUGUGGGCAUUCCCUUUGUGCCUCCUCCCGGAAGGACCUGGGGAUAAUUUCAGCACACCCUCGGGGGCCGGCCGCUAUGACCAACUGUCAGCCAAGGCCCCUCUUCGGCACAACUCCUUCCCAAAUCGGGAGCUGGUGAGGGAGCCGCUGUGGAGAACACCAGCUGUACCCCAGGAGACAAGACGCAGCAGGUCUUGGGCUUUGCUUCUGGUCGGUCUGCACCCCUGCUGUGUGACUCUGGGUGGGUUGCCCGACCUCUCUGAGCCUCGUCUCAUCUGUACAACGCGGUGACAGUAUUGUAGAGGUAGUGACCCAGAGGGCAAUCCAAGCCAAAUUCAAAGUCAGAUGGGGUCUAGCCCUGGCGUUAAGGCUGCUGUGGGCUGAAUGUUUGUGUCCCCUCCAAAUCCGUAUGUUGAAGCCCUAAUCCCUAACGUGAUGGUGUUUGGAGGUGGGGUCUGUGGGAGGUGGUCAGGUUCGGGGGACAGUAUGAGGGUAGAAGUCCCGUGAUGAGGUGGGUGCCUUUAUAAGAAGAGACCGGAGUUCUCUCUCCCUGCCCAUGCCCCCCACCCCCCGGCAACCACACGAGUUCCGGGGAGAAGGCAGCUGUCGGCAAGAGAGCCAUCAGCAGGGACCAAAUCAGCCAGCGCCUCGAUCUUGGACUCCAGCCUCCAUAACUGUGGGAAAUAGAUGUUUAUUGUUAGAACCACCCAGUCUACGGUAUUUGUUACAGCAGCCUGAGCCGACAAAGACAGAAAUGGGUACUGAGACGUGGGCACGGCCGUCAUAAAUUUCUAAAACGUGGACAUGUCUUUGGAGCCAGGUAAUGAGAAGAGGCUGGCAGAGGUUUGAGACACACGCCGGAAAAAGCCGAGGCCGUGAACAGACUGUCAAAGGUGACUUUGGUAAGAGAGCUCAGAAAGGAAAGAGCCAGAGAGACAGCCUCCGUUUCUUAGAGAUUUCAAACAGGACGGCACCGAAAGUAAGGCAGCCAGCUGCCUGCACCCAGGAGGCAACGGAACACCAAAACCAGGGGACCAGUUGUGCAGUGCCCGUGGCGAACACCCUGCUGCUGAGGACCCCUUUCCUGCUGCGGCUUCAUGGCCUGCGGCUGUAGCCUCCGGGGUGAGGCGAGACUCAGACGCGCAGGACGUGAGAACCCGGCCGGGAAGAGGCUCGGCCUGCAGCCGGGGCAGGUGCAGAGCGGAAUGGGAGCCGGCCUGGGAGGGCCCGGUGCCCUCCGGUUCUGGUGGGUCUCAGAGCCUUUCUCGAGGACUGACACCGGCCUUCACACGUGGCCUCUGGGGAGCUGCGUGAGGCCCACGGAGACCAGGGCAAAGCCAUCCCCACAACUGGAGGUCGGUCGUUCGGAGCAGAAGGCCCCAGGCGGCUUUGGGGGAUGAGUCAAAUUGGAAGAGGCCGGGCCCAUGCACAGGUGCAGCCAGACCAGAGGCGUGGAGGUUUCCUGGGGACCACGGCUGGCCGAGCGAGGCUGCUUCAGUGGGUUUGUACAUCAGAAGGUUUGGAUCAGAAGCAUCUGGAGAGCGGUGCGGGGGACAGACAGACAGCAGCAUGGGGACAGACAGCAGUGUGCGGCAGGAAGAAAAUGCAGGUGGCUUUAGUUGUGUAUAAUUAAGGAGUCUCCAUCCGGGGUCUCCCUUAUCCUGGGAGCUUGCACGUCGCCCAGGCCUCCGGGCAGAGGCGCAGCAAGGCCCCGGGGUGUUAUCUGCUCCCGUCUGAUGUGGGAGGGGUCGGGCAAAGAGGCGAUUCACAGGCGCGGCCUCAGCAGAAGCUGAGCUGGGUGGGGUUGGCCCCACGGGAGGCAGGGGCGGCCAGAGGGACCUGUGUGCGAGAGCCGGGCCCAGGCUCCCCCACCCCCACCCCGGGGCCCCCUCCUCACUAAUCGGGUCCUGAGGCACAUCCGCUGAGGGCCCCUCUCACCCAGUAACUCCUGAAAGAAACUCCUGAACGCGGGCCCUCCCAGAAGGGCUCCGUGUUCCUGCGUUCUCGAGAAGGCCUUUGGCCAAAAGCCGCAAUCGAACAUUUCCCCCCCUCCCACCCCGGGCAUCAGCAUCACAGCCACGCGGCACUCCCUCAGACCUGCUGUCGAUACGGACACCCCACCGCGGUGGCAAAAACCCCCGGCCGCAGAUAAUCAAUCCCCCCGGGUCCCUCCGCACCAGCUCAGGAAGGCAGGUGAUCGUUGAUUCUGUCGGCCACGCAUCGGCCUUCCCGCUUCGGUUUUCCGUGAUCAGUGUAAAGGCAAAGGUGAAAAUGUUAGAGGGCCUUCCAAACGGAACCCCCCCGCCCCCCUCCCGCGGAGGUGGUCCGGCGGGUAGGGGUGGGGGCAGGUUGAGCAAGGAGGAGGCAGAGAGGUCAGCGGAUCCGGCAGGUGUCAGAGGAACGGGAACCCCGGGCUACACCAUCUGCGUCCCCUCUCUGCUGGCCGUUAACGAGACCCCGUGAGUCUGCUCUGCACCCCGGGCUUCGCCCACAUCCCUCAUUUCAGCCUUACUCCUCCCUGGCGAGGCCGUCGUCCCCUGUUCCCGAUACUGCACGUGGGCCUCCGAAUGAGGACAGCGACUCCUUCCUGACCUCUGGGGCUGGGGGUGGGCGGGAGAGGGUCACCAGGACCGCAGACACAGGUUCACUUAGGAGCUGCGUUCAGCUACUGCCUCGGAGCUACCGCGGUCGGUGGCCCGCCGGGAGGCAAGACGCGGGGACUAGGCCGCAGAGUGUCUGGGCUCCUUGCGUGAUGGCAGGGCACGACACCUGUCCCUCAGGUCCCCUCCCGAUUUCAGCAGCGGGAAGAGGACGGAGGAGGAAGGCCAAACGGACGCGUGCCAGCUACACGGGUGCCCCGGGAGCUCUCCUGGGACCUCCUGUCACACCUGGGUGGACCCACCCUCUGAGGGAAUGACCAUCUCCCUGUCAUAAGGGGGACCUGUGGCGUCAAUGAGGAAAUUCACAUAACCGUGCCUGAGCAUGGCGAAGCCUCGGUAAACACUGGCCGUUCAUCGUCGACGUCAUCGCUGUUACUCAGGGGUUGGCCUGACACCUGCCCGUCCUCAGUGGCCUCGCAGAGCCCUUGUAGUCCUGGUGCCCUGAGCUGCGGGGCACAGUCUCCUCCGGGCCCUCCCGGAUACAUGCUAA
Molecule: long non-coding RNA, 3248 nt
Organism: Felis catus (domestic cat)
Lineage: Eukaryota; Metazoa; Chordata; Mammalia; Carnivora; Felidae
Exons: 4
Source: RefSeq, a predicted model, not a curated record